GACGAACGCUGGCGGCGUGCCUAAUACAUGCAAGUUGAGCGCUGAAGGUUGGUACUUGUACCGACUGGAUGAGCAGCGAACGGGUGAGUAACGCGUGGGGAAUCUGCCUUUGAGCGGGGGACAACAUUUGGAAACGAAUGCUAAUACCGCAUAAAAACUUUAAACACAAGUUUUAAGUUUGAAAGAUGCAAUUGCAUCACUCAAAGAUGAUCCCGCGUUGUAUUAGCUAGUUGGUGAGGUAAAGGCUCACCAAGGCGAUGAUACUUAGCCGACCUGAGAGGGUGAUCGGCCACAUUGGGACUGAGACACGGCCCAAACUCCUACGGGAGGCAGCAGUAGGGAAUCUUCGGCAAUGGACGAAAGUCUGACCGAGCAACGCCGCGUGAGUGAAGAAGGUUUUCGGAUCGUAAAACUCUGUUGGUAGAGAAGAACGUUGGUGAGAGUGGAAAGCUCAUCAAGUGACGGUAACUACCCAGAAAGGGACGGCUAACUACGUGCCAGCAGCCGCGGUAAUACGUAGGUCCCGAGCGUUGUCCGGAUUUAUUGGGCGUAAAGCGAGCGCAGGUGGUUUAUUAAGUCUGGUGUAAAAGGCAGUGGCUCAACCAUUGUAUGCAUUGGAAACUGGUAGACUUGAGUGCAGGAGAGGAGAGUGGAAUUC
This 658-nucleotide ribosomal RNA is filed under the name uncultured Lactococcus sp. RNAcentral describes it as "bacterial SSU rRNA". It matches the Rfam family "Bacterial small subunit ribosomal RNA", at positions 28 to 669 of the family's 1533-position model. Lineage: Bacteria; Bacillati; Bacillota; Bacilli; Lactobacillales; Streptococcaceae. The record is from RNAcentral.